AAUGAACGCUGGCGGCGUGCUUAACACAUGCAAGUCGAACGAGAAAGCUUCUUCGGAAGCGAGUACAGUGGCGAACGGGUGCGUAACACGUGAGAACUUGCCCUUCAGUGAAGAAUACCCUCGAGAAAUCGAGGCUAAUACUGCAUACGUCCCUUCGGGGAGAAAGGUGGCCUCUUGCUACCGCUGAUGGAUAGGCUCGCGGACUAUUAGCUUGUUGGUGAGGUAAAGGCUCACCAAGGCGAUGAUGGUUAGCCGACCUGAGAGGGUGAUCGGCCACAUUGGGACUGAGAUACGGCCCAGACUCCUACGGGAGGCAGCAGUGGGGAAUAUUGCACAAUGGGCGAAAGCCUGAUGCAGCGACGCCGCGUGGAGGAUGACGGUUUUCGGAUUGUAAACUCCUGUUAAGUGGGAAGAAAAGCUCAUAAGUAAUAUGUAUGAGUGUUGACGGUACCACUAAAGAAAGCUCCGGCUAACUUCG
RNAcentral lists this ribosomal RNA (478 nucleotides) under uncultured bacterium. Its description in RNAcentral is "bacterial SSU rRNA". It matches the Rfam family "Bacterial small subunit ribosomal RNA", at positions 29 to 505 of the family's 1533-position model. The record is from RNAcentral.